GAAAUCACAUUUACAUGGAUAACCGUGGUAAUUCUAGAGCUAAUACAUGCUGGUAGGCCCGACUUUUGCGGAAGGGCGGUAUUUAUUAGAUAACAAGCCAAUAUUCCUCUGGUCUAUUGUGGUGACUCAUAAUAACUGAUCGAAUCGCAAGGCCUUUGGCCGCGAUAAGUCAUUCAAGUUUCUGCCCCAUCAGCUUUCGAUGGUAGUGUAUUGGACUACCAUGGCGUUUACGGGUAACGGAGGAUUAGGGUUCGAUUCCGGAGAGGGAGCCUGAAAAACGGCUACCACAUCUAAGGAAGGCAGCAGGCGCGUAAAUUACCCAAUCCUGACUCAGGGAGGUAGUGACAAGAAAUAACGGACCGAGGCCUUCGGGCUUCGGGAUUGGAAUGAGCCGAAUUUACACCCCUUAACGAAGAUCGAUUGGAGGGCAAGUCUGGUGCCAGCAGCCGCGGUAAUUCCAGCUCCAAUAGCGUAUAUUAAAGUUGUUGCAGUUAAAAAGCUCGUAGUUGGAUUUCUGGGAGGGUGCCGAUGUCCACUUAACGUGUGCGCAGCGGCGCCCUCUCAUCCUUCUGUUAGCGUCUCUUGGCAUUCAUUUGCUGGUGGCGGGUUCAGAUAUUUUACCUUGAGAAAAUUAGAGUGUUUCAUGCAGGCUAGGCCGGAAUACAUUAGCAUGGAAUAAUGGAAUAGGACUACGGUCUCUUUGUUGGUUUGAGGGACUGCAGUAAUGAUUAAUAAGGAUAGUUGGGGGGCAUUAGUACUUAACUGUCAGAGGUGGAAUUCUCAGAUUUGUUAAAGACUGACUUAUGCGAAAUCAUUUGCCAAGGAUGUUUUCAUUAAUCAAUAACGAAAGUUAGGGGAUCAAAGACGAUCAGAUACCGUCCUACUCUAACCAUAAACUAUGCCCACUCGCGAUUGGGGGCGUGUUUCUAUCCGCCUUCAACUCGGAUUGGAGAUAUCAAAGUCUUUGGAU
This 970-nucleotide ribosomal RNA is filed under the name uncultured eukaryote. Its description in RNAcentral is "SSU rRNA". It matches the Rfam family "Eukaryotic small subunit ribosomal RNA", at positions 123 to 1112 of the family's 1831-position model. The record is from RNAcentral.